Molecule: small RNA, 854 nt
Filed under: Pan troglodytes (chimpanzee)
Lineage: Eukaryota; Metazoa; Chordata; Mammalia; Primates; Hominidae
Description: processed transcript
Source: RNAcentral
AGCGGUCGGGUCCGGGCGCCCGCGCAGAAUCAGCUGUCUGAACUGCCCAGGCGGCGGGGAGCAGUGAGCGGGCUUCAGCGAGCCGCAGGAGGCACAGGCCUGUCCUGGGUCCCCGCAGGUCAGUGUGAAGGCGUGCGCUGCCGGCGGACCCUGGGACAGGGGUGGAGGGGGCUGGCAGUAGGAUUGGGGAGGGGGCGGAGAAGGGAUCCGGUAGAUUGGGGAGGAGGGGGAUGCGGAGUCGCGGGGGCGGGGGCAGUGGAGGGAGAACCCCCGAAGCAAGCCUGGCUCGCCUUCUCGACGCCCCCUUGCACUGAGUCCUCCAUCCAUUUUAGUGCUGGAAAUGGGGGGUGGGGGUAGCGACCCCGCAGUGCGACAGUGAAACGUAGACAUAUUCUGGAAAUAACCCCUUCUCACAAUCUACACCCAUGGAAACACUUGAUCUCCGCAAAAAUGAGGUGGCGCUGGGGCAGGUUGCCUCCGGGGAAGGGGGACACAGAGACAAACGCAGUUUGGAAAGCAUCCUGGUUUGGUGCCGGAGGCCUGGAAAGAAAUGGCGGCUGGGGUACGGGGGAGGUAGGGGAGGAAAACGGUGGGUAAGCAGGGCCUGGACUCAGGAAAGGGAACCGAGUCCCUGUGAGCCCGCUAAGCGCGCAGCCCCUGCCCCUGUCUCCUGUCUGUCCGCAGGUCUGCGCGUCUGUUGUUCCCAGCGCUCUGAGAGGCCUGAAAAGGAGGAGCAACCUGUCCAGAAUCCCCGCAGGAAAGGAAAAGGAGGGGAAAUCUCGACAUGGAAAAACUCUUCAAUGAAAAUGAAGGAAUGCCUUCGAAUCAAGGAAAGAUAGACAAUGAAGAACAGC